RNAcentral lists this ribosomal RNA (385 nucleotides) under uncultured crenarchaeote. RNAcentral's name for it is "partial 16S ribosomal RNA". It matches the Rfam family "Archaeal small subunit ribosomal RNA", at positions 474 to 859 of the family's 1478-position model. Lineage: Archaea; Thermoproteati; Thermoproteota. The record is from RNAcentral.
CACCAGCYCUYCGAGUGGUAGGGACUUUUAUUGGGCCUAAAGCGUCCGUAGCCGKCUGWACCAGUYCCCCGUUAAAUCCAGCGKCUUAABCGUUGGACUGCGGGGGAUACUGUUCGGCUAGGGGGCGGGAGAGGUAAGCGGUAUUUCUGGGGUAGGGGUGAAAUCCUUURAUCCCAGGAGGACCACCAGUGGCGAAGGCUGYUURCUAGAACGCGCCCGACGGUGAGGGAYGAAAGCUGGGGGAGCGAACCGGAUUAGAUACCCGGGUAGUCCCAGCUGUAAACGAUGCRAGCUAGGUGUUGGGUCGGCCAUGGGCCGCUCCAGUGCCGCAGGGAAGCCGUUAAGCUYGCCGCCUGGGGAGUACGGCCGCAAGGCUGAAACUUAA